Molecule: long non-coding RNA, 2112 nt
Filed under: Danio rerio (zebrafish)
Lineage: Eukaryota; Metazoa; Chordata; Actinopteri; Cypriniformes; Danionidae
Description: lncRNA (ENSDARG00000117592.1)
Source: RNAcentral
ACAUCUUUCUGUGUGUUCAUUCUGUGUGUUUUUCUGUUUCUGCAGUGGAUCUCUGCAGCAGGCGAGACGCUGACUGUGUCUGUUUAUUACCCGUCUGGCUACAUUUGGGUCAGUCCAUACCAGGCGAUCCCGGUUCUGACACACUAUGUUAUUCCAGUGCCUCUUAAAACAACUGGAUCUGAGAGGACAACAACUCCAAGACCAUUCCUGACCACCACACAAAAACCGGCCCCACCAGGCCCUGUGACCUCUGAACUUCCCACUGUGACCCCAGCCACGCCCACUGUGAGCCCGCCAGGCCCAGUGUCUACAGCCACGCCCACUGUGAGCCCAGCAGGCCCUGUGUCUACAGCCACGCCCACUGUGAGGCCACCGGGUCCUGUAAUUACAGCCACGCCCAAUGUGACCUCUGAGCCUCCCACCACAGCAACCCGGCGAGGAGACAACUGAGGUGUCGCUAACAUUUUCAGACAAAAAUGGGAAACUUUUGUUUUGCAUGUUCGUGUACACCAUAACGAAAUGCAUAAGAAGAAAAUGCAUAAAAUAAAAGUGGAAAAAUGUUACAAAAUUCCUUUGUUUUUUUGUGUCCUUGUAAACUAAACACCUGAAAGUCUUAAUGACAUCACAUUUUAAAUAAAACAUUAAUAGAUGGACAUGGACAGAUUGUUUUUGUGUAAAAGUUAAUAUUUUUAUAAAGGACACAUGAUAAAAAUCAUCAUUUGAAAGCUGUUUGGACAGAGCUGAGUGCAGGUAUAGUGUGUCCACGGUCAUUUUGGAGUGAUAUAAACACAAAGGGCUCUAUUUUGACGGUCCAUGCGCAGAGCGCAAAACGCAGGGCGCAAACGCUUUCAGGGCGUGUCAGGACGCAUUUUUGCUAAUUUAAGGACGGGAAAUCUGCCUUGCGCUGUGGCGCAUGUUCUAAAAGGGUUGAGUUUAUUUUCUUAAUGAGUUAUAGGUGUGUUUUGAGAAUAAACCAAUCAGAGUCUCAUCUCCCAUUCCCUUUAAGAGUCAGCUGCGUCACGCCAAGAGCGCAUUCACUAUUUACAGGAAGCAAAGUAAGUCUAAGUGGAAAAACUGAGCAUUUCACAAGCAAACAGUUCACAGAAAACUGUUAAACAGAGCAUCUCCUGCGUGACAAUGAGAGAUAAUGGAUCUACUUUCACUUUCGCUCUUGGAUAGGGAAACCUUUACGCACAGACAUCAAUUAGUCUAUAAAUAAUUAAUUGCGUUUGUUAAGCGCAAAUAUUCGUUUCAAAACUAUUUCUAAAUUCAGUUCUAAUUUCCAGCAAACGAAUAAAUGAACAAUAAUAACAAAAUGUGCUCAAAAACCUGAGUUCUAUCCUAAAACACAUGCUGUGCCCCAUAUGGUCUAAAACCUGACAGGUGGACAAAUCUAAGCUUGUUUUUAAUAAAACAAAUAUAAAUAUGGAUAUAAUAAAUAAUACUGCUAAUAAUAAUAACAUUAUACAGAAGCAAAAUGAAUGAACUGAAAAAGCCUCCUGAGAUGAAGAAGACAUAAAAGCAGUGGUUUUUCAUAUUUAUGUAGGCUAGAAAAUAAUAUGUUUUGUAAUAUUUUAAUCCUUUAUAUUUAUAUUCUAUAUCUAUUCUUAUUAUAUCCUAUAUAUAUCCCUAAUAUUUACAUUUUUCAUAUGUAAAGAUAUUUGCCUAUUGCUCUCUUGUGUGUAUUAAGCAGUGUGUAAACAAAUUGCGCUGGAGUUUAGACCGGGUUUGUUUUGGUCUAUUGAAAAAUCUAUUUUAGUUUCUCAAAAUAGCAACGCACCAGCGGUCCACCUCAGAACGCCUUCCUUUAUAGACCAGCAUGAUAUGGGUGCACAUAUGUGCGCUAAUGCAUUUGCUAUUUAAACAGCGUAGCGCAACGCCUCAAAACCACUCUUGCGCCAAGCUGAAACUACCAAACAAGUAUUGCGUCGCGCCUUGCGCCACAUUGCGCCGGGUGUAUGAUAGGGCCCAAUAAGUCUCUUUUUCUUUUUUAAAUCUCCUGAUGUUAAAAUAGGAUCUAAAUCCCUUCGAUUUUGAGGCCCACCGCAUCGUGACGUAGGAGUGCGGUUUCCCCGCCCAAUGAUUUGAUUGACAGCCGCGUAUCAACAUGUC